RNAcentral lists this long non-coding RNA (193 nucleotides) under Canis lupus familiaris (dog). RNAcentral describes it as "lncRNA (ENSCAFG00845012073.1)". Lineage: Eukaryota; Metazoa; Chordata; Mammalia; Carnivora; Canidae. The record is from RNAcentral.
GAAAGAACCCCCGGAUAGGAGCGCAGUUCCGACCCGGGAGAGAGAGAACCGAGAGACCCCCGUGAACUCCCAAGGCGACCCGGCGAGUGGGGAAGCCAGAGCCCAGCAGGCAUUUGUUGAUUGAGCCAAAGAGGACUGACUACGUGUGACAUAAGUUGGAUCGAGUCACUGUGGAAGCAGAGGUCCUAAUAUC